This 429-nucleotide ribosomal RNA is filed under the name uncultured bacterium. RNAcentral's name for it is "bacterial SSU rRNA". It matches the Rfam family "Bacterial small subunit ribosomal RNA", at positions 355 to 776 of the family's 1533-position model. The record is from RNAcentral.
UGGGGAAUAUUGCACAAUGGGCGAAAGCCUGAUGCAGCAAUGCCGCGUGUGUGAAGAAGGCUCUAGGGUUGUAAAGCACUUUCAAUAAGGAAGAAAAGCAUGAGGUUAAUAACUUCAUGUAUUGACUUAACUUAUACAAGAAGCACCGGCUAAUUCCGUGCCAGCAGCCGCGGUAAUACGGAAGGUGCAAGCGUUAAUCGGAAUUACUGGGCGUAAAGCGCGCGUAGGCUGUUAUCUAAGUCGAAUGUGAAAUCCUCGGGCUCAACCUGGGAACUGCAUCCGAAACUGGAUAACUAGAGUAUGGGAGAGGUAAGUAGAAUUUCCGGUGUAGCGGUGAAAUGCGUAGAUAUCGGAAGGAAUACCAGUGGCGAAGGCGGCUUACUGGACCAAUACUGACGCUAAGGUGCGAAAGCGUGGGGAGCGAACAGG